RNAcentral lists this unclassified non-coding RNA (330 nucleotides) under soil metagenome. RNAcentral's name for it is "partial contains 5.8S ribosomal RNA, internal transcribed spacer 2, and large subunit ribosomal RNA". The stretch from base 1 to 120 matches the Rfam family "5.8S ribosomal RNA", at positions 35 to 154 of the family's 154-position model. The record is from RNAcentral.
GAUGAAGAACGUAGCGAAAUGCGAUAAGUAGUGUGAAUUGCAGAAUUCAGUGAAUCAUCGAAUCUUUGAACGCACAUUGCGCCCUUUGGUAUUCCUUAGGGCAUGCCUGUUCGAGCGUCAUUUAAACCUUCAAGCUAAGCUUGGUGUUGGGUGACUGUCCGCUUCACGGCGGACUCGCCUCAAAAUUAUUGGCGGCCGGUACAUUGGCUUCGAGCGCAGCAGAAACGCGAACUCGGGCCCGUCGUAUUGGCUCCCAGAAGCUAUCUUCACAAUUUUGACCUCGGAUCAGGUAGGGAUACCCGCUGAACUUAAGCAUAUAUAAGCGGAGGA